Molecule: long non-coding RNA, 465 nt
Filed under: Homo sapiens (human)
Lineage: Eukaryota; Metazoa; Chordata; Mammalia; Primates; Hominidae
Description: non-protein coding lnc-ZBED4-5:1
Source: RNAcentral
CUGGCAGAGGCCUUGGGGAGCUCAAAAGGAUGGCACUGGGGGUGCAUGACUGUUCAUGAAGCCAAAGAGAAAUAAAAAGAGGCAGCAGAAGGAACUUUCUUCAUGUGAGAUAGUUCAAGUUCAGACUUCCUGCUAACAACAUCUAUUAGGACAUGGGCUGGACCAACUCAUCUUCCUAUGGAAUACCAAGACAGGAGAUCCAGACAAACUCCAUCAUGUGCACCAAGCCCAAGCUCAAACAAUCAGCUGGUGCAGCAUGUCUGCUGAAUGACUGUGCUGUGAUGGGCUAGGACCAGCAGGCGGCCCAGGGGCCCUAGACUGCUCUGUUCACCUCCAUCCAACCACAUCGCUCUGCACACCAGGCACCAUCUCUGUAGGCUCACCACUAACAAAGGGACCGGUACCAUCUGAGGACUGCCUUUACCAACAAGACUAAAAGAUUUCUUGGAAGAAUAUCAAUUCCAG